Long non-coding RNA from Mangifera indica (mango), 2461 nucleotides. RefSeq lists it as uncharacterized. The transcript has 3 exons. The record is from RefSeq and is a predicted model, not a curated record. Lineage: Eukaryota; Viridiplantae; Streptophyta; Magnoliopsida; Sapindales; Anacardiaceae.
GAUGGUGUGAUUUUCUAAAAUAUAGCAGGUUUAUAAUACUGAAAACCCUUGGCAACUCCAGACUGGUAACUCAACAUCUCCUGAUGGCUGCAAAAAUCAAAUCUUUUAGAGCAAAACCUUUCCAAAUCUUUUCCUCUUCCUCGAAGCUCUUAAAGUUGCAAUCUUCUUCAUCAUCCCCAACAGCCGCACAACUUCAUUGAACCCAGAACCCAAAACCGCAACUGUAACAACACCAUUAACCCGACAACAGCUGGCCAAAAUCAACCUCUUAAUACCACGAUUAUGCCUCAAAAAUAACAUAAACAACACCAUUAAUCUUACUCUCACAGCUUUACAAACAAACCCACCUCCCAAGUCUUUCUCUUCCUCCGUUUUACUUAACAACCUAACUUGGUCCUCCGCAUGGCUCUUUUAACCAAACUCAAACACACCUCGCAAGCACAUUCACGGCUCACCUUAAUCACCACACUUCUUGUGUCUUCAUAUCUCAAAAAGAGUAGGCCAAAAGAGGCAUUAAAAGUGCACAACUAAAUGCUGAGGACUGGCUCUCCAUGUAAAGUGGAGACGGUGGUGUGUGAGGUUUUGGUUGAUGUGUUGUGUAGAAGUCGUGGGUUGUGGAGGCUUUGAGGGUUUUAAGAGAAGUUUGGUGGAUGAAUUUGGCGGUGAAAGGUGGUUCGAGGAGAAGGGUUUUUAGGAGUUAGUUGAGAGAAGCUUGAAUUGAGGGGGCUAAGGAAUUGAAUAAAGCUUUGGGGAGAGUUCACAGUGGUGAAGGGGAGGGCUUGAAGGAAUUCUUGGCCUUGUUGGAUCAGAUUCUUGCUAAUUGGACGGACUAGUGCGGUGCAGCAUUUAUUGUUGUUGCGUGUAUUUGGUGGCCCGACAUUGUGCUUGAGUUUGCUUGUUGAUGGAUGGUGGAGACUGGAGAAGAUAUAUAACCAUUGAAUUGGGUACAACAACUCCUUUUAGUUUCCAAUAUCUGCAAAACAACAAAAGCUGAUCAAGAAUUUUGGUGUAAGAAAUUUGACGAUGAUGCCCUGAUAGAUACAUUUUUCUUUCGAUGAUAUGUGCAUAUCCAUGACACAAAUUUGCGUGGAUAACUUCUUAUAGCAUAUAUUUUAAGUAAACAUUAUCUGUAUUCAUAGAAAAUUUUGAGCGGUUAAGGGUAAAAAGGAAACGGAUUGUAAGCAAGAUGACUGGUGUUUGACUUGCGGUAUGCUUUACUUGAUCUAGUCAAAGGAAAAUUUCUCUGUAUCUACUUGUGACAUUUUCUGUACCAUCUGCUACUGAUUAGGGGCACAGAUUCCCUGUAGUACCUAUGAACUGCAGUAUACAUUCGAUCCAUUGCUUGAUUAGUGAAGCUAGUUAUUUAGGUUGGUUAUCCCAUUGGUCAUGUCCCAUCCUAGUACAUGUUCAUGCAAUUAAAUAAUUUUAAAGUGAGUUUUUUGCUUUAGACAGCCCUUGCUUUCAACUACUCUGAGAUAAAUUUGCUUCAGUUUGAUCAGUUGACCAGCUGGGGUUAAAGAUAAAUUAAGACAGAGAUAUUGAAGUGAACACUUGCUGAUAUGUUGUUGUGUAAAUCUAUAUAUCUGUCCUAGUGUCCUACUAGGUUGAGUUGGUCACUACAAACUGGGAAGACAGGUCGUCCCUGAUAAACCCAAUUUCAGUGAUAUGCAAAGGGUAUAUAUUACUGAAUGAUAUUCUAAAUUCAAGUGGAACGUCAAAAAUUUGUUGGGGUCAUAUUAAAGAAGUUAGUGGAAGGGAUAUGGUGCAGCUUGUGAAGGACUACUAGGAUCCAAAGCAUCAACUUUUCACAGCCUCCAUUUCUGAUAAGAGCAAGCAAGUAUCGAAUCAGCAAAAGCAUAGUAACCCUUGUAAAUUUUAGGUGAAUUUAUUUGUUUGAUGGGUCGUCUUAGGUGGCCUGAAAUAGUAAAAUGGGGUGAAGGCACAGUCAUUUCGUAAAAGGACAUCAAAAUUUCUACAGAAAAACAUUAUUCCUUGAGAAGCCAGAGUGAGAUGUCCUUAGAAAUGAAAUCUGUAAACAUCUUUUAUAUACUGAAGUUACUGAAUGAGUUCUGUGUUUCCACAUCAUGUACGUCUGGACUAUCGGAACUCAAGCAAGUGACACUAUUCAAUCACCGUCUGCUCUGCACACAUACACAAAGAAAGAGCUUUACCAAGCAGCUUCUGAUGCUGCUAUUGCAUGUUUAAAGAUAGUUGAAGAAAUCUGCUCGCAAAGUUUCUAAGAGCUGCAGAGUAUUGUCACUCUAAAUUCUAUAUGGGAUGCUUAAAGACUGGAGAAGGCAUCAAAGGAACAAGUUUUGACUUGGAGAAAGUAUGAAUCGAAUUCAUAAUGAGGACCAUUACAAAAAGCAUCCCGGUUAACUUCACAAUGUUGAGAAUAUUGAUAUCGACCUUGUGUUACUGAAAUCAUUUUGAUUAUAAUUCUUAUUUGUUGUUGUUUUAA